Long non-coding RNA from Corapipo altera (White-ruffed manakin), 798 nucleotides. RefSeq lists it as uncharacterized. The transcript is spliced from 4 exons. Lineage: Eukaryota; Metazoa; Chordata; Aves; Passeriformes; Pipridae. The record is from RefSeq and is a predicted model, not a curated record.
CAGCACUGGGGGGUUCUCUAAGAGGGGAUGGCGGCCCUGAGGGGGUUUUCUCCACGAGGGGAUGGUGGCACUGGAGGAGUCCCCGUGGCUGUGUCACCCCGAUGCCACGGCAGGCAGGGACGAUCGCCACAGCACACACAUGUCCCCGCCGGGCCCCCGUGCGGCAGGGCCGGGUUGUCCCCGCCCGCCCUCUCUAACCCGCCAUGUCAGGGGCGGGGCCGCCCCCGCCCUCACAGCGAUGGCGGCGGCUCCGGGGGGCUUCGUGUGGGCUCUGUGAGGGCUCCGUGAGGCACCCGAAUUUAGGAGCUCGCUAAACACAGACACACGUCUUAGUUUGGGAAAGGACGCAUUGUUCAUCCCGCUCAUUGCGCCUCCACAGAUCAGGCAGCCCAAGGGGUGAAAACUCACCUCUUUUAUGCAGUAAAGUUCACACGAGCCCGCUCGCCUAAUACGUAUUUGCUUGGGUGAUGUGAUCUUACCUGAAACACAAAGCUCUUUUCUUCAUUCAGCAACUUCUGUUGUAGAAGUUACCAGAAGUUAUCUGGCAACUUCAGUCUUGUUUACAAAAGGGUGCGAGGUGGAGGUUUCCACGAAGGAAACACGUCAAAGGGUAAAAAGUUACCUCCUUUAUACGCAUCUUCUGUCCUGGAGGUUAUCAGUAGUUAUCUGACGACAUGAGUUAUGUUUACAAAAGGUGGGAAAACUCAUCCCAGGGACAGACAAUUCGACAGGAAGACAAACAUCCACCUCCACCUGCCUGUGCACUGAUGGUUUAAGCUGUUCUUUAUUAAAUCUAUG